CCUACGGGUGACAGCAGUGGGGGAUAUUGCACAAUGGGGGAAACUCUGAUGCAGCGACGCCGCGUGGGUGAAGAAGGGCCUCGGAGCGUAAAGCUCUGUCAGUAGAGAAGAAAAUGACGGUAACUGACGAAGAAGCCCCGGCUAACUACGAGCCAGCAGCCGCGGUAAUACGUAGGGGGCAAGCGUUCUCCGGAUUUACUGGGUGAAGAGGGGGCGCAGACGGCGAUGCAAGCCAGGAGUGAAAGCCCGGGGCUCAACCCCGGGACUUCACUGGGAACUGAGUGGCUAGAGUGCAGGAGGGGCAGGCGGAAUUCCUGGUGUAGCGGUGAAAUGCGUAGAUAUCAGGAGGAACACCGGUGGCGAAGGCGGCCUGCUGGACUGCAACUGACGUUGAGGCCCGAAAGCGUGGGGAGCAAACAGGAUUAGAUACCCGAGUAGUC
This 440-nucleotide ribosomal RNA is filed under the name uncultured bacterium. RNAcentral's name for it is "partial 16S ribosomal RNA". It matches the Rfam family "Bacterial small subunit ribosomal RNA", at positions 338 to 795 of the family's 1533-position model. The record is from RNAcentral.